RNAcentral lists this ribosomal RNA (437 nucleotides) under uncultured bacterium. Its description in RNAcentral is "bacterial SSU rRNA". It matches the Rfam family "Bacterial small subunit ribosomal RNA", at positions 29 to 507 of the family's 1533-position model. The record is from RNAcentral.
AAACGAACGCUGGCGGCAGGCCUAACACAUGCAAGUCGAACGCUCGUAGCAAUACGGGAGUGGCAGACGGGUGCGUAACGCGUGGGAACAUACCCUUUGGUUCGGAAUAACUCAGGGAAACUUGAGCUAAUACCGGAUACGCCCGAGAGGGGAAAGAUUUAUUGCCCGAAGGAUUGGCCCGCGUCUGAUUAGCUUGUUGGUAGGGUAACGGCCUACCAAGGCGACGAUCAGUAGCUGGUCUGAGAGGAUGAUCAGCCACACUGGGACUGAGACACGGCCCAGACUCCUACGGGAGGCAGCAGUGGGGAAUAUUGGACAAUGGGCGCAAGCCUGAUCCAGCCAUGCCGCGUGAGUGAUGACGGCCCUAGGGUUGUAAAGCUCUUUUACCCGGGAAGAUAAUGACGGUACCGGGAGAAUAAGCCCCGGCUAACUUCGUG